This 433-nucleotide ribosomal RNA is filed under the name uncultured bacterium. RNAcentral's name for it is "partial 16S ribosomal RNA". It matches the Rfam family "Bacterial small subunit ribosomal RNA", at positions 29 to 507 of the family's 1533-position model. The record is from RNAcentral.
AACGAACGCUGGCGGCAUGCCUAACACAUGCCAGUCGAACGAAGGCUUCGGCCUUAGUGGCGCACGGGUGCGUAACGCGUGGGAAUCUGCCCUUUGGUUCGGAAUAACAGCUGGAAACGGCUGCUAAUACCGGAUGAUGACGAAAGUCCAAAGAUUUAUCGCCAGAGGAUGAGCCCGCGUUGGAUUAGGUAGUUGGUGGGGUAAAGGCCUACCAAGCCGACGAUCCAUAGCUGGUCUGAGAGGAUGAUCAGCCACACUGGGACUGAGACACGGCCCAGACUCCUACGGGAGGCAGCAGUGGGGAAUAUUGGACAAGGGGCGCAAGCCUGAUCCAGCAAUGCCGCGUGAGUGAUGAAGGCCCUAGGGUUGUAAAGCUCUUUUACCCGGGAAGAUAAUGACUGUACCGGGAGAAUAAGCCCCGGCUAACUCCGUG